AAACCCUCAAGCCUUUUGGGUGUUGUCCCGCCUUCGCGCGGUACUCCGCCCGGUUUGGUGUUGGGCGUCUGUCCCGCCGUGCGCGCGGACUCGCCCCAAAUCCAUUGGCAGCGGCCCUUCAGCUUCUUGCGCAGCACAAUGCGUCUCGGAGCGUAGCAAGGGCACGCGUCCACUAAGCAACCCACA
This 186-nucleotide unclassified non-coding RNA is filed under the name Setoseptoria arundelensis. RNAcentral describes it as "partial internal transcribed spacer 2". The record is from RNAcentral. Lineage: Eukaryota; Fungi; Ascomycota; Dothideomycetes; Pleosporales; Lentitheciaceae.